UCUCGUGUCCCCUGUCCCCUCUCAUCCUCGCUCCCCCUCUAGGGUCUCCGUUGACUUACCCGCGGGCCGGGACACUCCACAGUUGAGAAGAAUAGUGUGAGCUACCCAAUGACCAAAAACCUGGAAGCAGAGUCACACAUAAUUCAGUAUGAUUCAGCCCACUGAGCCACUCUCCACAGGAAGUAUAAAUAGAGCACAGAAGCUCUGAAAUGGAUUUUAACCACAGAGCCAGAGGAAAUUCUCAAAAGAUCUAUUAUCUUGGUGAUAAGUUCCUCAAGUGGAGCUGGGUCCACAGCUGCCAUUCAAGAGGAAACUGCAGUUUAUAUCAGCAAGUUAUGUGUUUCCUAACAUGCUGCCCAUGUCAUUCUAGCCCCAGUGCCCAUUCAGCAUCAGCCACCAUCAUAAGCCAACAUACCAAGACUAAUAUAAAAAGACACUUAUUGAAGUAUCAGUAAGGAGGACUUCUGGGAAGAUGGCAGCAUGGUAAGCAGCAGAUGGGGGGCCUCUCUGAGGUUUUGUGUCCAGGCACUGGCAUAUAGCAACGUGAGGAAGAGAAGGAGGAAAAUGGGUCCCCAGGACCCAGGAAGGAUCUGAAGCAAGAAUUUAGGCCCAUGGGGAGAGCCAAGAGAGUGAGUCUUCCAAAGAAGGAGGUAAAAGGUGUCACCUCCUACCUAAGCCUGAACUCACUGCGUGGGAAAGACAGCUCAAACUUGCCCAUGAACUGUGACUACUGGUGAUCCUGGCGACCCCAGAGACCUACAUGGAUUAAUGCAUCAGUGGAGCAGAGUGGUGGACUCAGUGGCCUGCAGUGGUUGGGGGUGCCUUCAAGUCUUCCGGACAAACAUGCCUGCCCUCCUGCAGACCCAGGAUUCUAUUCUGCCUCACACAUCCCCAACACAACUGCCAGCUGAGUUCUAAUUGCAGAAUCUUCAUUACCAGGGACGAUUGAAACUAUAAAAAGAAACCAGCUGAAUUUUUCACAUCCUGCUGGGUGAGCACAAGGCCUGGCUUUCCUGUUCCUGCCCUCCUCCUUCCCCCAGCAAUUAUCCCUUCUACAUGUGUGAUCUGGCUUCUGCCAGAAGCUCUGAGCAAUUGAUAGAUGUUAUCUCCCUUCUCCUCCAACCUCCCUCCCCAGGAGGUAGGAUGGUGACCAUGACAAAUAUGUCUGACCUUCCUCUACAGCCUCAGAAACAGGAGGUUCAUUCAUUUCUUAACUUCUUUACCUAAGUUUCUUGUUCAAAGUCACCUAGUGGUGAGUGACCAUCGAUAACAGACAUUUCUCCUAACCUCAGGCUACAAAUUUGUCUUUUUCUGUUACGUUUGUUCCAUCAGUGAGUAUUUAUAAAGUACCUGCUGAGUAAUCAGGAUUGAGUUAAUUAUGGUGAAGGGGAAUAUCCAGAAGCAAAAGGAUACCAAGCAAUUAAAAAUCCAGUUGGAAGGCAAAAUUAGAUAGGACACCUCCUCGUUUUGUAGCUAAUAACUUUUUGAGAAUCAAGGGAGUGAUUUUUGCAAAUUUUAUAUAAAAUUUAUCCAAACUUUUUUCAAUCUAUGUGGGGGGGGCUUGUCUUGAUAUCAAGAAAAAGAAAUGUCUGGAAGAGUGUACAUCAGAAAGUUAAAGAAAACUAUCUGAGGCACUAUGUAAAAGAUAAUAGAGAAACUGGUCCUUGAAAACACAAUGAAACUGUCUGGGUUUGAAUCCCAGUUUUACCACUGACUAUGCUCCCUUGUCACUGCUAUAUUGGACUCUCUGAGUUUCUAUUUUCCUAUUUAUAAAAUGGGAUGGUAAUUGAAGUAUCUUAUUGAGUUAUUGUGAGGAUUAAAUAGUAACGAAUAUUGCACAUGCAAGUGCUCAAUAAAUAUAACUCUCUAAUGAUGAAAUAUUGGAGGAGGAGAGCCAUGGGAAAAGAAGUCUUGGAGAAGGUGAGACAUAAAAUGGUCCUGGAUGAAUGGAAGAUUGGGAUAGUCAGACAGGAAGGCUCGGAGCAUUUGGGAUUAGGAAAACUUCUUGAUGGAAGGCAGAGACAGAAGUCUCAGCUGUUCUCCAAGAGAGAAGUUUGUGUGUGAAAUGAGAAAUAGAGUUGUUUAAGAAGGGGAAAUAUAGUAAGGGGCCUCAAAGAAAGCAGUCAGCUUCACAUAUACAAAGCCUCUCAUCAUUAACACUCCCACCAGAGUAGUACAUUUGUUCAGUCAGUGGUUGAUACAUCAUUAUCACCUAGGAUCUGUAGUCUACAUUAGAAUUCAUUCUUGUUUUUGUGCAUUACAUGGGCCUAGACAAAUGUAUAAUGAUUGGUGGUUGGAUGUUUUGAAAAAAUUUUUUGCUUCUGCCCAACAAAAAGAGACACAGCCGUGAAGAUAAUGAAUCAAAUAAACCAACACAAUCUCUGGCAGAUAACAUCUUCAACAAGAUCAUGUUACAAAGGUAUUCCCAUGAACUUCAAAACAUCAAAUAAUGGGGUCAACCAAGUAAAUUUACCUUACUGGUGUCAACAACUAUCCAGAUGGAAGCAGAGGGAAGACAAAAAAUAUAGGACAGUUUUGGGGGGCUAGGAAAUUCAUUGAUACUCAUAAAUACCCAGCCUUAAAAGGAGAACAUUCAUCAAAGGCAACAAAUUGAACAGACCCAGCUGAGAUUGCAAGGCUCCAAAUGAUGGUUUUUAGUUGACAAGAGGUCAACUCUCCUGCCACAGGAAAAGUCAAAACAGAAGAAAAUUUUUAAAAUGACUUUGUCCGUAGAAAACUGCCUGCAUGGAUCAUUGCCCAUUCCACCAUUACUGAGAAAGAGGAAAAUUGAAUUCAAGGCCAGCAGAGGGGCCAUAUAUUAACAUUAUGCGAUUCUGGAAGGCUGCUGUGAGGACGAAUGAGUGGAUAAUAGCAAAAUCAAAGAAAUAUCUGGAUGUCCCUUCCUCCUGCCUUCCUGUCAAGCAAGUAAAAUGCCUAAAAAAUAACUUAAGCCAGUGUCUAGGACAAAAGUAUGAGGAUAUUUACAGUGUUGGGAGAAGGCUGCUUUCUGAAGAGAAAGCAAUCAGGAUGGUCAAACCAGGCACUGAUCCACAGAGUCUCUACCCUCGAAUGCCAUCCCCAUCCUCAUUCCUUAAAAUCAGCAGCAAUGACACAAAUAGGAGUCUGAAUUUAGACUUCUUCCCUCUAAGCCUAAUAUCUGCAAAAUAGCUGCCGCCUACAAGGGAAAAUGGAAUAACAGCACAUACAGACACAGACACACACACAAAUACAACCAGACAACUGAGGAGUGUGACCACUAAUUAAAGUAAGGUAAUAAACUUAACUGUCCGUACUACACAGGACAGCUUUUAAAAAAUUGAAAUAAUCAUGACAUAUAAUAUCACAGAGAGAUAAGAUACUGUUAACAUUGAGUGAAUACCAUAACUUUUUAAAAGUUUUAAAUAAAAAUAAUAAUAACAGUUUAAUUAAGGAACUUAAUUGAAGAGAGAAAUAACAGAAUGAAUACAAAUUUGAAUUUGUGAACCACAGAUAGGUUUGAGGAACUAUCUCACAAGGUAUCAAAAAGAAAUAAAGUGAAGAAAAAUAGAGUAGUAAAAUAGAGUAGCAAAAUAGUGUAGGAAUGAAAGAAAAAAGGUAACAGAGGAAGACUGAUCACACCUCUCACAGUGCACAAUUGGCCCCCUUUUACAUUGAUGCAGAGCUUGACCCUUCUUCUUACUUUGACCAAUGGGCUAGCAAUAAACAUGAUGCAAGCAAAACAUAUGUUAAGAAUUUGUGUCUUAGGGGUAAGAUGAGAUAAAUAUGCUUACUUUGACAAAUGGGACAUCAGAGAAAUUGAAGCAAACACGGACUUAGUAAGGACUUGUGCUAAACACUGCCCUCUUCCCAUGAGGAAGCCUAGGCCAGCCUCCUUGAGGAUCAAAGACAACAUCAACAGACCCAGUCAUCCCAGAUAUCCAGAUGAGCUCGGAUUCCUGGAUUCUAAAACCUAAAAGCUGCCUUAUGAUUAUGCCCCCGUGAAAUCAAUAGAAUCAUCUAGCCAACCACAGAAUCAUAAGGAAUUAUUGUUUUAAGCCACAGAGUUUUGAAAAAAUUUAUUAUACAUGCAACAAUAAAAAAAUUCACGUGGGAGAUGAGAUACUAUCCUAAAUAAUAACCUAAAGUCUCUAGACUAAAAGAUGUUUGACUGAAAUAAAAAACAUUUAAAUGGAAAGGCUAAUACAAUUGCCAAAAAAAAAAGAAAUUCAUCUGAGAUUUGUAGUAUGAUGUAAAAACUUCAAAUUCCAAAAGACAAUUCUAAAUCAUACAGAAAGAAAUGUGACUUGAAAAGUAACAUGAAUAAGUUUUAUCAAAGUUCUUAAUCAUGACACUAAAACUAAGAAACCAAUGAAGCAUUAUUUUCAAAGUAAAAAAUAAAAGGACUUCUAAUCUACAGCCAAAUCAUCUUAUGUGAGGAAUCAAUAAGGAUAUUUUUGGAUAAGCAUGCCCAUAGUGACUUUAAUAUAGGACAUUAGGGCAUGGCAAAGCUGGUUGGGGAAGUAGGCAUGACUUGUUAAUUACAAAAUCCCAGAACACAUGUGCUGAACAGUUCCCAAAGCCCAGCAUGUGGACUUCUAGCAAGAACUGAGCAGGUUUUCCACAGGAUGGCCUGGACCUGAUAUUCGCCUGAAGUGUGAGAUCCCAGCACCAUUUCUCAGGACCCAAAUAUAGAAGUUCUCAUGAGUUUCCUUGAGAUUUGAACAGUAUAAAAGGGCAUAAAUGCCAAAAAGAACUUCCUAUCAUGGUUUUCCUCAUGACAGCCUCCCCUGCUUUCUCCAGGAUGUAUUUUUAAUCUUGCGUUUUCCUCUUUUAUUUGACCCAAGCUCACUCUGCAGAGCCAGUUUC
Molecule: non-coding RNA, 4845 nt
Organism: Heterocephalus glaber (naked mole-rat)
Lineage: Eukaryota; Metazoa; Chordata; Mammalia; Rodentia; Bathyergidae
Source: RefSeq, a predicted model, not a curated record